UACAGAGGGUGCGAGCGUUAAUCGGAAUUACUGGGCGUAAAGCGUGCGUAGGCGGUCGGGUCAGGCGGAUGUGAAAGCCCCGGGCUCAACCUGGGAAUGGCAUUGGAGACUGCCGGGCUAGAGUGCGGUAGAGGGGUGCGGAAUUUCCGGUGUAGCGGUGAAAUGCGUAGAGAUCGGGAGGAACAUCUGUGGCGAAGGCGGCACCCUGGACCAGCACUGACGCUGAGGCACGAAAGCGUGGGGAGCAAACAGG
RNAcentral lists this ribosomal RNA (253 nucleotides) under uncultured bacterium. RNAcentral describes it as "partial 16S ribosomal RNA". It matches the Rfam family "Bacterial small subunit ribosomal RNA", at positions 524 to 776 of the family's 1533-position model. The record is from RNAcentral.